ACUCCUACGGGUGGCUGCAGUGGGGAAUAUUGGACAAUGGGGGCAACCCUGAUCCAGCAAUGCCGCGUGUGUGAAGAAGGCCUUAGGGUUGUAAAGCACUUUCGUUAGUGAAGAAAGGUUUAUGGUUAAUACCUGUGAAUUUGACAUUAGCUAAAGAAGAAGCACCGGCUAACUCCGUGCCAGCAGCCGCGGUAAUACGGAGGGUGCAAGCGUUAUUCGGAAUGACUGGGCGUAAAGCGCACGCAGGCGGUUAUUUAAGUCAGAUGUGAAAGCCCCGGGCUUAACCUGGGAAUUGCAUUUGAAACUGGGUAACUAGAGUAUGUCAGAGGAAGGCGGAAUUUCCAGUGUAGCAGUGAAAUGCGUAGAGAUUGGAAGGAACACCGAUGGCGAAGGCAGCCUUCUGGGGCAAUACUGACGCUCAUGUGCGAAAGCGUGGGUAGCAAACAGGAUUAGAUACCCUGGUAGUCCACGCCCUAAACGAUGUCAACUAGGUGUUGGGCACUUAAGUGCUCGGUACCGCAGCUAACGCAUUAAGUUGACCGCCUGGGGAGUACGGCCGCAAGGUUGAAACUCAAAGAAAUUGACGGGGACCCGCACAAGCGGUGGAGCAUGUGGUUUAAUUCGAUGCAACGCGAAGAACCUUACCAGGCCUUGACAUCCAGAGAACUAAGCAGAGAUGCUAUGGUGCCUUCGGGAACUCUGAGACAGGUGUUGCAUGGUUGUCGUCAGCUCGUG
RNAcentral lists this ribosomal RNA (735 nucleotides) under uncultured bacterium. RNAcentral describes it as "bacterial SSU rRNA". It matches the Rfam family "Bacterial small subunit ribosomal RNA", at positions 335 to 1064 of the family's 1533-position model. The record is from RNAcentral.